Cannabis sativa is the source of this 699-nucleotide long non-coding RNA. RefSeq lists it as uncharacterized. The record is from RefSeq and is a predicted model, not a curated record. NCBI's taxonomy places the organism in Eukaryota, Viridiplantae, Streptophyta, Magnoliopsida, Rosales, Cannabaceae. The transcript has 3 exons.
GGUAGGCACGUGAGUUCACAUCGAUCGAGACUUCAUCCUUCUACAUUAGAAGCAUUAGUAUGUACACAAAAUUGGUUGAAGACUGACAAAAAAGCAACAGUGAAUGAUGAAGAUAAUGAUGUUGAUCCAACAAUGGAGCCUUACGUAGUUGAUCUUGAUGAUUAGAGAGUACAUUGUUCUUUUUAGUAUAUGAGUGAGGACAUGGAUGAGAACAAAUUGUAGUGUUUAGUACUUAUGGUUACUAGUUAUUAUAUUUGAGUUUAUGGUUGGUAGUUAUUAUUGAUGUAUUAAACAUUGUUAGUAACAAAAGUACAAUCUCAAACUUUCCUCUAUUAUGCAUAAUUGAAUCACUCAUUUAUUCAUUAUAACAAAAAUGCAAUUAUUCAUUGAAAACCUUAGUUUCCAACCUUAUCUAUUAUUAAAGUAAAAUUGAAAAAAAAAACAUUACCAUCACACCCUUAUAAUUCUCUUCAUUAAAAAUAAAUUGACUUACAUAAUUAUUAUAAUAUUGAUUUUAAAACAUAAUCAAACAACAUAAUAGUUCUCCCAUUACCCAUGACUCAAAACAAGACAAAACCAAAGAAAAAAGAAAUCCCUUUUAAUAAGGCAUGUCAUAUUGUAAUAGUAUAAUAGUUAUAACUAACCACUUCCUAAUAAUAAUAAUAAUAAUUUUUAGAAAGAAAAAAAAAAAAAAAAGAG